This 627-nucleotide ribosomal RNA is filed under the name uncultured Pseudomonadaceae bacterium. RNAcentral describes it as "SSU rRNA". It matches the Rfam family "Bacterial small subunit ribosomal RNA", at positions 153 to 775 of the family's 1533-position model. Lineage: Bacteria; Pseudomonadati; Pseudomonadota; Gammaproteobacteria; Pseudomonadales; Pseudomonadaceae. The record is from RNAcentral.
GAAACGGGCGCUAAUACCGCAUACGUCCUGAGGGAGAAAGUGGGGGAUCUUCGGACCUCACGCUAUCAGAUGAGCCUAGGUCGGAUUAGCUAGUUGGUGGGGUAAAGGCCUACCAAGGCGACGAUCCGUAACUGGUCUGAGAGGAUGAUCAGUCACACUGGAACUGAGACACGGUCCAGACUCCUACGGGAGGCAGCAGUGGGGAAUAUUGGACAAUGGGCGAAAGCCUGAUCCAGCCAUGCCGCGUGUGUGAAGAAGGUCUUCGGAUUGUAAAGCACUUUAAGUUGGGAGGAAGGGCAGUAAGUUAAUACCUUGCUGUUUUGACGUUACCAACAGAAUAAGCACCGGCUAACUUCGUGCCAGCAGCCGCGGUAAUACGAAGGGUGCAAGCGUUAAUCGGAAUUACUGGGCGUAAAGCGCGCGUAGGUGGUUCAGCAAGUUGGAUGUGAAAUCCCCGGGCUCAACCUGGGAACUGCAUCCAAAACUACUGAGCUAGAGUACGGUAGAGGGUGGUGGAAUUUCCUGUGUAGCGGUGAAAUGCGUAGAUAUAGGAAGGAACACCAGUGGCGAAGGCGACCACCUGGACUGAUACUGACACUGAGGUGCGAAAGCGUGGGGAGCAAACAG